ACAACCUGCCCUUAGGUUGGGUAUAAACCCGGGAAACUGGGUAUAAUACCCGAUAGGUCUCGAUUGCUGGAAUGCAUCGAGAUUUAAAGCUCCGGCGCCUAAGGAUGGGUCUGCGGCCUAUCAGGUAGUAGUGGGUGUAGCGUACCUACUAGCCUACGACGGGUACGGGUUGUGAGAGCAAGAGCCCGGAGAUGGAUUCUGAGACACGAAUCCAGGCCCUACGGGGUGCAGCAGGCGCGAAAACUUUACAAUGCUGGCAACAGCGAUAAGGGAACCUCGAGUGCCAGGUUACAAAUCUGGCUGUCGAGAUGCCUAAAAAGCAUUUCAUAGCAAGGGCCGGGCAAGACCGGUGCCAGCCGCCGCGGUAACACCGGCGGCUCGAGUGGUAACCGUUAUUAUUGGGUCUAAAGGGUCUGUAGCCGGCCGGAUAAGUCUCUUGAGAAAUCUGGCAGCUUAACUGUCAGGCUUUCAGGAGAUACUGUCUGGCUCGAGGCCGGGAGAGGUGAGAGGUACUUCAGGGGUAGGGGUGAAAUCUUGUAAUCCUUGAAGGACCACCAGUGGCGAAGGCGUCUCACCAGAACGGACCUGACGGCAAGGGACGAAAGCUAGGGGCACGAACCGGAUUAGAUACCCGGGUAGUCCUAGCCGUAAACGAUACUCGCUAGGUGUCGGCCACGGUGCGACCGUUGUCGGUGCCGUAGGGAAGCCGUGAAGCGAGCCACCUGGGAAGUACGGCCGCAAGGCUGAAACUUAAAGGAAUUGGCGGGGGAGCACCACAACGGGUGGAGCUUGCGGUUUAAUUGGAUUCAACGCCGGAAAUCUUACCGGGACCGACAGCAAUAUGAAGGCCAGGCUGAAGACUUUGCCGGAUUAGCUGAGAGGUGGUGCAUGGCCGUCGUCAGUUCGUACUGUGAAGCAUCCUGUUAAGUCAGGCAACGAGCGAGACCCACGCCCACAGUUGCCAGCGUACUCUCUGGAGUGACGGGUACACUGUGGGGACCGCCGCUGCUAAAGCGGAGGAAGGAAUGGGCAACGGUAGGUCAGUAUGCCCCGAAUAUCCCGGGCUACACGCGAGCUACAAUGGUUGGUACAAUGGGUAUCUACCCCGAAAGGGGACGGGAAUCUCCUAAAACCAAUCUUAGUUCGGAUUGAGGGCUGCAACUCGCCCUCAUGAAGCUGGAAUCCGUAGUAAUCGCGUUUCAACAGAACGCGGUGAAUACGUCCCUG
RNAcentral lists this ribosomal RNA (1227 nucleotides) under uncultured Methanosaeta sp. Its description in RNAcentral is "bacterial SSU rRNA". It matches the Rfam family "Archaeal small subunit ribosomal RNA", at positions 104 to 1332 of the family's 1478-position model. The record is from RNAcentral. Lineage: Archaea; Methanobacteriati; Methanobacteriota; Methanomicrobia; Methanotrichales; Methanotrichaceae.